RNAcentral lists this ribosomal RNA (378 nucleotides) under uncultured eukaryote. RNAcentral describes it as "SSU rRNA". It matches the Rfam family "Eukaryotic small subunit ribosomal RNA", at positions 587 to 969 of the family's 1831-position model. The record is from RNAcentral.
AGCUCCAAUAGCGUAUAUUAAAGUUGUUGCGGUUAAAAAGCUCGUAGUUGGAUUUCUGCUGAAGCAAACCGGUCCGCCCUCUGGGUGAGCAUCUGGCUUUAUUUUGGCAUAUGCUUAGACUUUGCAGCUGCACUUGACUGUGUGGUGUGAAGGCUAAGCCAUUUACUUUGAGGAAAUCAGAGUGUUUCAAGCAGGCAAUUGCCUUGAAUACACUAGCAUGGAAUAAUAUGAUAUGACUGUGGUUUUAUUUUGUUGGCUUCUAGAAUUAGAGUAAUGGUUAAUAGGGAUAGUUGGGGGCAUUCAUAUUUAACUGUCAGAGGUGAAAUUCUUGGAUUUGUUAAGGAUGAACGACUGCGAAAGCAUUUGCCAAGGAUGCUU